This 805-nucleotide ribosomal RNA is filed under the name Psora crenata. RNAcentral describes it as "SSU rRNA". It matches the Rfam family "Bacterial small subunit ribosomal RNA", at positions 369 to 1217 of the family's 1533-position model. The record is from RNAcentral. Lineage: Eukaryota; Fungi; Ascomycota; Lecanoromycetes; Lecanorales; Psoraceae.
CAAUAGCCUAACGGCUGAACCAGCAACUUGGAGGAAUGUAUAGCGAUAGCUAAUUGCAUCAAAAAUAUGAUGCAAGAUCGAUUUAUUGAAUAAAAUUCUGGGUAGAAUUAUGAUUAUGACAUUGUCUACCCAUGUGUCUUGACCAAAUUACGUGCCAGCAGUCGCGGUAAUACGUAGAAGACUAGUGUUAUUCAUCUUUAAUAGGUUUAAAGGGUACCUAGACGGUAAAUCAAGCCCUAGACGGGACUAAUUUGCUAGAGUUACUUGUGAGGGGGUUUUAAAGUACUAAUGGUGUAGAGAUGAAAUUUUGUAAUACCAUUUUUCGAAAGAAAAGUAAUGGCACAGGUAUAGGCGAAAGCAUCCCCUUAUGUGAUAACUGACGUUGAAGGACGAAGGCUUUGAGUCGCGAACAGGAUUAGAUACCCUGGUAGUCAAAGCAGAAAAUAAUGAGUGUCAUAGAUUAGAUAUUAAAGUUUAUUCUAUAAAUGAAAGUGUAAGCACUCCACCUCAAGAGUAAUUUGGCAACAUUGGAACUGAAAUCAUUAGACCGUUUCUGAAACCAGUAGUGAAGUAUGUUGUUUAAUUUGAUAAUCCGCAAAAAACCUUACCACAAUUUGAAUAUUUAUAUCGUUGAUAUAAUUACAAGCGUUGCACGGCUGUCUUCAGUUAAUGUCGUGAGAUUUUGGUUAGAUCCAUUAAAUUAACGCAAGCCCUUACUUUAUUUUAAAAUAAAGUCGUUCCCCACUAGAUUGGAUAAGAUAACAGGGAUUAAGACAAGUCAUCAUGGCCUGAAUAUUGUGGCUAU